UGGGGAAUUUUGGACAAUGGGCGAAAGCCUGAUCCAGCAAUGCCGCGUGUGUGAAGAAGGCCUUCGGGUUGUAAAGCACUUUUGUCCGGAAAGAAAUCCUUGGCUCUAAUACAGUCGGGGGAUGACGGUACCGGAAGAAUAAGCACCGGCUAACUACGUGCCAGCAGCCGCGGUAAUACGUAGGGUGCAAGCGUUAAUCGGAAUUACUGGGCGUAAAGCGUGCGCAGGCGGUUUGCUAAGACCGAUGUGAAAUCCCCGGGCUCAACCUGGGAACUGCAUUGGUGACUGGCAGGCUAGAGUAUGGCAGAGGGGGGUAGAAUUCCACGUGUAGCAGUGAAAUGCGUAGAGAUGUGGAGGAAUACCGAUGGCGAAGGCAGCCCCCUGGGCCAAAUACUGACGCUCAUGCACGAAAGCGUGGGGAGCAAACAGGAUUAGAUACCCUGGUAGUCCACGCCCUAAACGAUGUCAACUAGUUGUUGGGGAUUCAUUUCCUAGUAACGUAGCUAACGCGUGAGGUUGACCGCCUGGGGAGUACGGUCGCAAGAUUAAAACUCAAAGGAAUUGACGGGGUCAUAGCUGUUUCCU
RNAcentral lists this ribosomal RNA (585 nucleotides) under uncultured bacterium. RNAcentral's name for it is "partial 16S ribosomal RNA". It matches the Rfam family "Bacterial small subunit ribosomal RNA", at positions 355 to 1375 of the family's 1533-position model. The record is from RNAcentral.